This is a long non-coding RNA of Poeciliopsis prolifica (blackstripe livebearer), 731 nucleotides long. RefSeq lists it as uncharacterized. The record is from RefSeq and is a predicted model, not a curated record. The transcript is spliced from 6 exons. NCBI's taxonomy places the organism in Eukaryota, Metazoa, Chordata, Actinopteri, Cyprinodontiformes, Poeciliidae.
GUGAACCGGAAGUUUUUUUUAUAUCGGCCGUCGGCUCGUUAGCAAGCUAAAUUACUUUUAAAGAUAAUUUUUCUUUACGAUUUUUGGACCAGCGCGGCGCAGAGCGGGAAGACAGCUGAACUGCGCCAGGCUCGGUGAGAGCUGAAAGGCCUGCUGAGAACAAUGGCUGACAUGAGGAGAAACAUGCAGGAUCACCACCUGAACUUCUGACGGAAGGGAGGAAGGAGAAUAUCAAUAAUGUGCUUGUUAUUGAAAGGCAGGAAGUGAGGAAAGGGGAAAAGGAUGAAAAGUUUCAGGAGCAACACUCUGAAAACUGCUGAUUCAGUCAAAACUAACGUUAGAGGGAUGUGAGAAUGAGAUGAACUUCCUUGAAGAUGCCUUGUAUAGACCUAUCGUCUAUACAAAAACCAAAAAAGCAUUAGUAGAGCCUUCCGCACAACUAACUAAUGAGAAUGCAGCAGGUGGUUUCUGGAUGAAAUUUGGCGAACCAAUCCUCGGAGAUCCGGCUCAGAGAACAGAAGCUGUUUGCUAUUCCAGCAGGGGAUUAAGUGUUUCCUCACAUGCGGCACAUUAAUCCACGCGCCCUGAAUCCUUCACCGCACGUGCCAGACGCUUCGCCACUCCAGCGCCGAUCCAUUACAACUCCAGUCCAACACCACCGAAACCAAUUUCUUCUGGUUUUAUCGAGGUUAUACGUGUCCAGAUACGGCAGCCAUUAAAUUAAUUAAAAA